GACAGAGGUGCCAAGCGUUAGGCGGAAUCACUGGGCUUAAAGCGUGUGUAGGCGGGUCGUUAAGUACCUUGUGAAAUCCCCCGGCUCAACCGGGGAACGGCUGGGUAUACUGGCGAUCUUGAGCCACCUAAGGGCAGUCGGAACAAGUGGUGGAGCGGUGAAAUGCGUAGAUAUCACUUGGAACGCCAAUGGUGAAAACAGACUGCUGGGGGUGUGCUGACGCUGAGACACGAAAGCCAGGGGAGCAAACGGG
RNAcentral lists this ribosomal RNA (253 nucleotides) under uncultured bacterium. RNAcentral describes it as "partial 16S ribosomal RNA". It matches the Rfam family "Bacterial small subunit ribosomal RNA", at positions 524 to 776 of the family's 1533-position model. The record is from RNAcentral.